Molecule: ribosomal RNA, 641 nt
Filed under: Gloeophyllum sp. OTU074 AN-2016
Lineage: Eukaryota; Fungi; Basidiomycota; Agaricomycetes; Gloeophyllales; Gloeophyllaceae
Description: eukaryotic LSU rRNA
Rfam family: 5.8S ribosomal RNA (bases 241-394)
Source: RNAcentral
UAGAGGAAGUAAAAGUCGUAACAAGGUUUCCGUAGGUGAACCUGCGGAAGGAUCAUUAACGAGUAAACAAGGGAGUUGUAGCUGGCCGCAAGGCAUGUGCACGCUCUCUACUCAAUCCAACCUUACACCUGUGCACCUAUUGUAGGUCGAGUGGCUGGACUUGUUCUGGUCGCUCUUCCUAUGUUUUACACAUACACUUGUAGUCUCAGAAUGUAAUCCGCGUAUAACGCAUUAUAAAACAACUUUCAACAACGGAUCUCUUGGCUCUCGCAUCGAUGAAGAACGCAGCGAAAUGCGAUAAGUAAUGUGAAUUGCAGAAUUCAGUGAAUCAUCGAAUCUUUGAACGCACCUUGCGCUCCUUGGUAUUCCGAGGAGCAUGCCUGUUUGAGUGUCAUGAAUAUCUCAACUCAUCCGGUUUUUAUUAACUGUGGUGGGCUUGGACUUGGAGGUAUGCUGGCUGACUAGUCGGCUCCUCUCUAAAUGUAUUAGCUGGACCUGUUACGGAUCAGUACUCGGUGUGAUAAUUGUCUACGCCGUGUCUGUGAAGUGCUUGAAUGGACUAGCUUCUAACCGUCUUCGGACAACUAUUGACAUUUUGACCUCAAAUCAGGUAGGAUUACCCGCUGAACUUAAGCAUAUCA